This 783-nucleotide long non-coding RNA is filed under the name Musa acuminata (dwarf banana). Its description in RNAcentral is "long non-coding RNA (MACU_LNC003683)". The record is from RNAcentral. Lineage: Eukaryota; Viridiplantae; Streptophyta; Magnoliopsida; Zingiberales; Musaceae.
UCUUAAUUAGAUUACAGAACUAAGAAUUCUUAUAUCAAAUCAAAGAAUCGGAAUCUUUUCUUAAGUAGAAUGACCCUAGUGUUGGUCAGUAGUCGGAUCCUCCCAAGUUCUUGAAGCUUGUCGAGGUCCUUCGACGGCAGUCGAGGAUCCAAGGAGCGCAUGAUUUCCUCUGUGGACUUAGUAGGUGGACGAAGGACUGGGGAGUUGACCGGAGUUGCAGCGGGCGAAGCUGCCGGCCGGCCGGAGCCGGAGGUCCCGCGCCUUGCUCACGUAGAGCUCCUUGACGUUGGUGCCCUGCUGGCUGAGCAAGCGAGCGAGGCUGCGCUUGGCGUCCGAGCGGAAGGGGCAAUUGGUGGCCAUGAAGCCGUCCACCAGGUGGAGGUAGGCCUCCAGGUCGUGGCAGCAGGCUGCGUCGGCGUCGGGCCGCAGGUAGGGGGACAUCCGGUUGUCCACCCGCAGCUCCCGCCCGACGUGCGCGUAGCCGUCGGCGCGCGCGGGGAGCACGCAUGGCACGCGCGUGACCAGGUCGUGCGCGUUCACCACCCGCAGCACCUUGACCGCCCGCCGCUCGACCCGGUCCGCGAACGCCUGGUUCCCCACCCGCGGGCCGCCAAAGGAGAACACCGCUGUCGGCACGUGCGGCGACACGCUCGCCGCCAGCUCGUCCGCCACCAGCACCGCCAGCGCCGCCCCCAGGCUGUGCCCCACCACCGUGAUGCUCAGCUCCUCCCCUGCGUACUGUUCCAUCAGCCUCCGCACCUCCUCCGCCACCAUCGACGACAG